AUUGAACGCUGGCGGCAGGCUUAACACAUGCAAGUCGAGCGGAGCGAAGGUGCUUGCACCUUAGCUUAGCGGCGGACGGGUGAGUAAUGCUUAGGAAUCUGCCUAUUAGUGGGGGACAACGUUUCGAAAGGAACGCUAAUACCGCAUACGUCCUACGGGAGAAAGCAGGGGAUCUUCGGACCUUGUGCUAAUAGAUGAGCCUAAGUCGGAUUAGCUAGUUGGUGGGGUAAAGGCCUACCAAGGCGACGAUCUGUAGCGGGUCUGAGAGGAUGAUCCGCCACACUGGGACUGAGACACGGCCCAGACUCCUACGGGAGGCAGCAGUGGGGAAUAUUGGACAAUGGGCGAAAGCCUGAUCCAGCCAUGCCGCGUGUGUGAAGAAGGCCUUUUGGUUGUAAAGCACUUUAAGCGAGGAGGAGGAGCUUCAGGUUAAUACCCUGGAUGCUUGGACGUUACUCGCAGAAUAAGCACCGGCUAACUCUGUGCCAGCAGCCGCCGUAA
Molecule: ribosomal RNA, 501 nt
Filed under: uncultured bacterium
Lineage: Bacteria
Description: partial 16S ribosomal RNA
Rfam family: Bacterial small subunit ribosomal RNA
Source: RNAcentral